Molecule: ribosomal RNA, 444 nt
Filed under: uncultured prokaryote
Description: bacterial SSU rRNA
Rfam family: Bacterial small subunit ribosomal RNA
Source: RNAcentral
CCUACGGGGGGCUGCCGUCGAGGAUCAUUCGCAAUGGGCGAAAGCCUGACGAUGCGACGCUGCGUGGAGGAUGACGGCCCUCGGGUUGUAAACUCCUGUCAUGAGGGAAAAAGGGACCCGCGACAACAUCAAGGGAACCGGAUGGUACCUCAAGAGGAAGCCACGGCUAACUAUGUGCCAGCAGCCGCGGUAAUACAGAGGUGGCGAGCGUUGUUCGGAUUUACUGGGCGUGAAGGGCGCGUAGGCGGCGGAGUGUGUCGGGUGUGAAAUCCCAGGGCCCAACCCUGGAAGUGCGCCCGAAACUGCUCGGCUCGAGGGCGGGAGGGGUGAUCGGAAUGCAGGGUGUAGCGGUGAAAUGCGUUGAUAUCCUGCAGAACACCGGUGGCGAAGGCGGUUCUCUGGAACGCAACUGACGCUGAGGCGCGAAAGUCGGGGGAGCAAACA